RNAcentral lists this ribosomal RNA (380 nucleotides) under uncultured eukaryote. RNAcentral's name for it is "partial 18S ribosomal RNA". It matches the Rfam family "Eukaryotic small subunit ribosomal RNA", at positions 592 to 976 of the family's 1831-position model. The record is from RNAcentral.
CAAUAGCGUAUAUUAAAGUUGUUGCAGUUAAAAAGCUCGUAGUUGGAUUUGUGGCGUACGGUGUGUUCCGGGCACUUGUUGUCUGAGUAACCUGCUGUUGCCAUCCUUGGGUGGAACCUGUGUGGCAUUAGGUUGUCGUGCAGGGGAUGCCCAUCAUUUACUGUGAAAAAAUUAGAGUGUUCAAAGCAGGCUUAUGCCGUUGAAUAUAUUAGCAUGGAAUAAUGAGAUAGGACUUUUUUGCUAUUUUGUUGGUUUGCGCAAGAAGGUAAUGAUUAAUAGGGACAGUUGGGGGUAUUCGUAUUCCAUUGUCAGAGGUGAAAUUCUUGGAUUUCUGGAAGACGAACUACUGCGAAAGCAUUUACCAAGGAUGUUUUCAUUAA